UGCGAGAGACCCUUCUCAUUUUCAAUUUUUCUCCACCCCAUUUAAUCCAAAAAAAUUUCAUCUCAUACUUUGAGAUGUGCACCAGAGGAUGGAGGGUGAUUAGGGCUACCACACAUAUCAAAAUCCCAUGCCAGAAGGAUUCCUCCUUCUGCUCACAUCGACAUGCGCAUGCAAAUCCUUUUUUCCACCAAGCGUCCUCCACAAUUUGGACUCUUCAUAC
Molecule: long non-coding RNA, 220 nt
Filed under: Elaeis guineensis (African oil palm)
Lineage: Eukaryota; Viridiplantae; Streptophyta; Magnoliopsida; Arecales; Arecaceae
Description: long non-coding RNA (EGUI_LNC057961)
Source: RNAcentral